Molecule: transfer RNA, 86 nt
Filed under: Candidatus Obscuribacterales bacterium
Lineage: Bacteria; Bacillati; Candidatus Melainabacteria; Candidatus Obscuribacterales
Description: tRNA-Leu
Rfam family: tRNA
About the family: Transfer RNA (tRNA) molecules are approximately 80 nucleotides in length. Their secondary structure includes four short double-helical elements and three loops (D, anti-codon, and T loops).
Source: RNAcentral
GCCGAAGUGGCGAAACUGGCAGACGCAGUUGACUCAAAAUCAACCGAGGCUAACACCUCGUGUGGGUUCGAUUCCCUCCUUCGGCA